Molecule: unclassified non-coding RNA, 272 nt
Filed under: Hevea brasiliensis (rubber tree)
Lineage: Eukaryota; Viridiplantae; Streptophyta; Magnoliopsida; Malpighiales; Euphorbiaceae
Source: RNAcentral
AUUUUAGCAUGGAAUACUGAGUCAAGGAUUUCUCCUUCUUCCAUGGAUAGUCCCAAUUAUUGUUCAAAUAUAUGCGGAGGUAAAGCAUGAACAUCAAUUGGAUUGUUUUAUUUUUUGUGGACAAUUUUGUCAACACAGUGAAAAUAAUUUAGAAACAAGUAACUAAAUAGCAAAUCAAAUAUAUGAAUCUAAUUCAUAAUAUAGAUGCUUCUUUCCUUUAUAAAUAUACAAAGGACUGGUGAAAAUAAUUCCUUGUUAUACAGGAACGUUUG